UACAGGGUCUCUGGAUUGGAACAAAAGUAGAGGGAGGUCCUAAGUUACCCUGUGGACCCAACAAAGAAGGCGGUAUAAGGACUAUUGAGCCCAGAGUCAGGCUGAAAAUCUGCCGUCAGGUUGCCAGACUAAUUUUUUGUUGGACCCUGGAAAUGGUGGGUAACAUGACCUGGUUGGAGGGCCAAUUCACAAGAAGAAGAAGAUCACUGCAGGCCCAGAGUGGCUGUCAGCAAUGGGUGUGUGAUCGGGCUUGCUCUCACCACCUGUUAGACAAGGGUUAAGAGCCAAGUAGUUCACCUGUGAUUGAUUCAUUCCUGGCCAGAGGGGGUGGAGCUAGGUAGGGCUCAUUAGGCACCUGGGGCUUAGGAGGGAGCUGAGGGAACUCCGUAGAGGAGAGGACUGCAGAGGAGGAAGCAGGACUCUCACAUGAAGAGAAACCCACAGAGAGCAGGGGACUGAACUUUGUGACGUGGCUGGAGAGCUGAGCUGUGGCAGACCCUGUGAGAGGCAGCGAGCAGGAGUGCCAGACACAAAGACUCCAUGCAGUGUUGCACUGUGACACAAGGGUUGCAAUGGGUGAUGAGUAUACUACCUUACAGGGUGCCAGAGGAGAAGACCCUGGUAUGCCAUGUCCAUGGAUUCACUCUUCUACAGCACCCUAAUCCCGAUGCGUUGUACCUCUUCUUGUUUGUUUCAUGUAGUAACUAAAAUGGAUCAUAAAAAGUCAGACCACUUCUAAAUGAAUUGUACCAAUAA
Mauremys reevesii (Reeves's turtle) is the source of this 756-nucleotide long non-coding RNA. RefSeq lists it as uncharacterized. The record is from RefSeq and is a predicted model, not a curated record. The transcript has 2 exons. NCBI's taxonomy places the organism in Eukaryota, Metazoa, Chordata, Testudines, Geoemydidae.